This 468-nucleotide ribosomal RNA is filed under the name uncultured bacterium. Its description in RNAcentral is "partial 16S ribosomal RNA". It matches the Rfam family "Bacterial small subunit ribosomal RNA", at positions 28 to 507 of the family's 1533-position model. The record is from RNAcentral.
GACGAACGCUGGCGGCGUGCUUAACACAUGCAAGUCGAACGGAAAGGCCCUGCUUUUGUGGGGUGCUCGAGUGGCGCACGGGUGAGUAACACGUGAGUAACCUGCCCUUGACUUUGGGAUAUCUUCAGGAAACUGGGGCUAAUAUCGGAUAGGAGCUCCUGCUGCAUGGUGGGGGUUGGAAAGUUUCGGCGGUUGGGGAUGGACUCGCGGCUUAUCCGCUUGUUGGUGGGGUAGUGGCUUACCAAGCCUUUGACGGGUAGCCGGCCUGAGAGGGUGACCGGCCACAUUGGGACUGAGGUAGGGCCCAGACUCCUACGGGAGGCAGCAGGGGGGAAUAUUGCACAAUGGGCGGAAGCCUGAUACAGCAACGCCGCGUGCGGGAUGACGGCCUUCGGGUUGUAAACCGCUUUCGCCUGUGACGAAGCGUGAGUGACGGUAAUGGGUAAAGAAGCACCGGCUAACUACGUG